AUACGUAGGUGGCAAGCGUUGUCCGGAUUUACUGGGUGUAAAGGGUGCGUAGGCGGGGCAGCAAGUUGGAUGUGAAAUCCUCGGGCUCAACUCGAGAACUGCAUUCAAAACUGUUGCUCUUGAGUGCAGUAGAGGCAAGCGGAAUUCCCGGUGUAGCGGUGAAAUGCGCAGAGAUCGGGAGGAACACCAGUGGCGAAGGCGGCUUGCUGGGAUGUUACUGACGCUGAGGCACGAAAGCAUGGGUAGCAAACAGGAUUAGAUACCCUGGUAGUCCAUGCUGUAAACGAUGAUUACUAGGCGUGGGUGGACUGACCCCAUCCGUGCCGGAGUUAACACAUUAAGUAAUCCACCUGGGGAGUACGGCCGCAAGGUUGAAACUCAAAUGAAUUGACGGGG
Molecule: ribosomal RNA, 396 nt
Filed under: uncultured bacterium
Lineage: Bacteria
Description: partial 16S ribosomal RNA
Rfam family: Bacterial small subunit ribosomal RNA
Source: RNAcentral